GACAUGAGCUGCUCCACCUGCGCUUCUGCAGCACAAAACUGUUCGAUGUUGCUGAGAGGCAUCAGGAACAGCUCGGGUGGUU
Molecule: non-coding RNA, 82 nt
Filed under: Ixodes ricinus (castor bean tick)
Lineage: Eukaryota; Metazoa; Arthropoda; Arachnida; Ixodida; Ixodidae
Source: RNAcentral